UACGGGGGGGGCAAGCGUUGUUCGGAAUUACUGGGCGUAAAGGGCGCGUAGGCGGUUCGCUAAGUUGAAUGUGAAAACUCUGGGCUUAACCCAGAGCCUGCAUCCAAAACUGGCGAACUGGAGUACUGGAGGGGAAAGCGGAAUUCCUGGUGUAGCGGUGAAAUGCGUAGAUAUCAGGAGGAACACCGGUGGCGAAGGCGGCCCUCUGGACGAGUACUGACGCUGAGGCGCGAAAGCGUGGGGAUCAAACAGG
This 253-nucleotide ribosomal RNA is filed under the name uncultured bacterium. RNAcentral describes it as "partial 16S ribosomal RNA". It matches the Rfam family "Bacterial small subunit ribosomal RNA", at positions 524 to 776 of the family's 1533-position model. The record is from RNAcentral.